RNAcentral lists this long non-coding RNA (11397 nucleotides) under Olea europaea (common olive). RNAcentral's name for it is "long non-coding RNA (OEUR_LNC012904)". The record is from RNAcentral. Lineage: Eukaryota; Viridiplantae; Streptophyta; Magnoliopsida; Lamiales; Oleaceae.
CAUCGUUUUCAAAAGUGCAAACUGGAAGUGGUUUACAUUUUCCCACCCCAAGUUCCACCAGCUGUUCCUGACCGACCAGUAAGUUGUUCUUUGAUUGCUGAUGUUUCCAUGUUGUUUUCCUGAGCUUUGGAUGUUCUAUUUUCACUGUUUUCUUUCAGUCUCCAGCAAUUAUAGGUCUUGAUAGUUCUAUUUCUGUUAAUUAGGUUACUAGAACAUUUAUAGGUAUUGCAAAAAAUAUUAGAGGUGAACGUUCUCUGGUUCAUGCAGGUGAAUGUGCAUGAACUGCAAAUAUAUAAAUGUAGUUGUGUUGCUUCUCUGAUAUUGUUCUUGCAUUUGUUCUUGAAUAUAAAAUGUGCAUUCUUCAACAAUAAAGUUCCCUAAAAAUUUUAAAAAAUAGAAAAUGCCCUUGUGGCAUUACUUUUGGUGAAGUUACAACACACAUGAAUAUCAAAUGAGGAAAUGAAACUCAAUGAAUUUUCACAUCCCUUAUGAUAAAUCAUUAAGCAAAUUAGAGCCCCCAUGAGGUAACUAAUUGUUACAAUGACACGCCCUAUUUUUUAAAAAUUACAGAAACCUCAAUUCCUUUUUUUUUUUUUUUUCUAGAAUUGAUCCCCUUGUCAGCCAAAAACAAAUAUUUGUUUUAAUUCUACCUGCUUCUCUCAUACUACAUUUGAAAACUAUUAUUUCAUGAUAUUUAACCAUCUUUCUUUCUCAUUUCUUAGGAUAUUUUUCUAUAUUUUCUAUUUAGACGGGAGCACUGCUUUAAGUUAAAAGAGAUAUUUUUAUUAAUCUAAUGGAGAACUAAUAAUAGGCGGAAUGAAUUAUUUCAUUAGACCUCAAGUAUAUUUAUACAAGAUAAAAAAAAAUAUAUUUAACCCUUAAUUAAAUAAGGAAUGCACUGUAACUCUCUCCUCCAAGUUGGUGCAUGGAUAUCUCACAUGCCCAACAUAGAUAGUCAUGUAAAGAAUAAUCUACUAACUGUCAAAAUUGUAUUAUCCAAUAAUUGUCUUUCAAUCGAUGCCCCAAUUGAGGUUCAAUCGAUUCUUUAAAUAGAGAAAAUUACAACCUCUAAAUAUGGUAAUAAUCUAUACAAGGAAAAGUCUAAUUAUACAAUCAUUUUUUUUGAUAGGUAAUCAAAUAAUUUUAUUACUUAAAAGAGAAUACACGGGAAGUGUACAAUCACUUUAAGCCAUUAAGGAAAAACAUGAAAUUAGGCAACCCAUCUACAGGAUUUCUAGCCACAGCAUUAAACUAAGAAUACAAGGUAAAGUAAAAUGUUUCUCUUAUCUGCUCUCUUGUCUUUGUUUGGUUUUCGAAGCAACGGUUGUUCCUUUCUCUCCACACCCACCAAACAAUGCAGCCCGGAAUAAGGUGUCAUGCUAGUUUGCUAUCCUUAUCCCGAAAUUUUCUACGCCAUGCCCGUAUCACGUCUUUUAUACGAUGAGGCUCACCCAAUCCAUAGAUUAUGAACUGAGUAUAUUGUUCCAAAUCCAACGUACACCAUCAUAAUGAAUGAACAAAUGAUCGAUCAUCUCCCCAUCCUUCUUGCACAUAUAACACCACUCGGUUGCAUAAAAGCCUUUACGACGAAGAUUAUCCACCGUUGUGAUCUGUCCCCUCACAACUGUCCACAAUAGGAAUGCCACCCGAGGAGGCAAUUUACAUUGCCAUACCAACUUCCAGGGGAAUGAAUUAUUCACACAUCCCAUGAGGGAACCAAAGUACGAGCGAACCGAAAAAAUGCCAUCAUGUGCUGUCCUCCACCUGAUGCAAUCCCUCUCUCCAACCCGAAUUUGAGCCUCAUGUAAAAUGGUCAUAAACAGCGAAUAAUCUUCCAAUUCCCAAUCCUGAAGAUCCCUCCCAAAGGUAAUAUUCCAGCUAUAGCUCCCAUUAUGAAUGUCUAAGAGAUCACUCACCAUAGUAGUGGACACUGAGGCAAUGCGAUACAAAGAAGGGAAUCUCUCCUUCAGCGAUUGAUCUCCGCACCAACAAUCAUCCCAGAAUUUAAUCUCAUUACCAUUUCCAACCACAAACUUCAGUUUGUCCAAAAAAACACUCCAUCCCCGUUGGAUAUACCUCCACAAGCUCACCCCAUAAGAACCACGAUCCUCAAAUGUACACCAUCCCCCAUCGGUCACACCAUACUACGCCCCAAUUAUUUCUCUCCAAAAGCUGUCCCUCUCCACUCCAAAUCGCCACAACCACUUGCCUAAUAAGGCUUUAUUGAACAACACAAGGCUCUUCACCCCAAGACCCCCUAUCCUCAUCGGCAAACAAACAACUACCUCGCGAAUAGAAUGACAAUCAACUUCAAUGCGUUUGGUACGCUCAUGAAAAACUGGAUUAUUGGCGAUUUGAAUAGCACUGGUAUUAUUGGCAUAAAGAGGUGUAGGAGAAAGUUGAGGAACACCAAUUUCUCGUAACAAACCCCGAAGCUAAAUGAUUUCAGAACAAGUAGCCGACGUGGCUCGAUAUUCAGACUCAGUGGAAGAUUUCGAGAUACGAGCCUGCUUCUUACGUUUCCAAGAGAUAAGUGCGCCACCAAGAAACAUACACCAACCGGAGAUAGAACGACUAGUAUCAACACAACCAGCCCAAUCUGUAUCACUAAAUCCUACCAAUUGCAAUGAGGUACUAGAUGGAAAGAACAAACCACGACUAGAGGCACCUUUGAGAUAUCGAAGAAGACGACGUACAGCAGCCAAAUGGGCCUGACAUGGGGCUUGCAUAAAUUGACUGACUUAUUGGAUAGCGAAGGAAAUAUCGGGCUUGGUAAUGGUCAAAUAAUUCAAAUUGCCCACAAACUGGCGAUAUAACGAAGGAUCAGAUAAGAGAUCACCACCCUCUUAACGAAGUUUCAAAUUCACCUCCAUUGGUGUAAGAAUCGAAUUACUGCCCUGAAUACUGGCUAAUGUGAGCAACUCUUGUGCAUACUUAUGUUGAUGUAUCAUUGUGCCAAUUGGACAAUGCUGGAUUUCAAGGCCAAGAAAGUACUGGAGAGGUCUAAGAUCUUUCAUAUAAAAUGAAGAUUUAAGCUGUUAUUUGAGCUUGUCAAUCAACUGAGAAUCAGAACCCGUAGUCACAACGCCAUCUACAUACACAAGAAGUAUGACGAUCCUAGUAGAAGUAGUGUGGAAGAAGAGGGAAGAGUCAUAUUGACUCUAAGUAAAACUGAAGUCCAAAAAAGUAGAGCUAAAUUUUUCAAACCAAGCUCGAGGCACUUGUUUCAAGCCAUAUAUGGAUCGUUUUAAACGACAAACAUUUGUAGAAGGAGAAGAAAACAUGCCGGGUGGAGGAAACAUAAAUAUAUCUUCCUUUAGAUCACCAUGUAAAAAUGCAAUCUUUACAUCCAUCUGGCGAAGUGGCCACCAUUUUGAAGUGGCAAUGGCCAAAAUUAUACGAACAGUAGGAGCAAAAGUUUCAUCAUAAUCAAGACCAUAUUCCUGUCGAUUUUCGAGAGCCACUAAAUGAGCUUUAUACCUAUCAAUAGUGCCAUCAGAUCGUAAUUGGUGGUAUAAACCCAUUUGCAUCCAAGAGGUUUGACACCAAGUGGACAAGGAAUGAUAUCCCAAGUGUGAUUGUCCUGAAGAGCCUAAAUUUCAUAAGUCAUAGCUUGACGCCAACAUUCUUGAGUAGAGGCUUGAGAGUAAGACUUAGGUACAGAUAUAUUAUCAAGAGUAGCCUGAUGAGCAGAAUGUGAAAACCUAUACCUAUCUGGGGGCCGAGAGGUUCGAGCUGAUCGUUGAGGCACAUGUACGACAGGAUGAGUUACGGGAUCAGAUGUAGGAAGAGACAGUGGAUGACGGUGCUGAUACACAAGACUUGGCUCAAAACGAUUCUAAAGUCAUCAUCAAAGAAAGGAAGUGAAACAGUAGAGGAAGAAAUAGGCUCAGUACGAGAUGGAAAGAAAUAUUGAUUUUCAAAGAAAACAAUAUUUCUGGAAAUACGUAACUUAUUAGCUUCUGCAUCGUAAACACAAAUCCUUUGUGGGAAUUACUGUAGCCAAGAAAAGCACAUCUAACAGCUUGAGCAGCAAGUUUAUGAUGUUCAGGAGGAGGUAAGUGAACAAAGCGUACACAAACAAGAUAUGCAAAGAAUCAUAAUUAGGAAUGACACCAAAUAAACGAUAAUAUGGGGAAUCAAAAUUUAUGUUUGGGGAUGGCAGACAAUUAAUCAAAUACACAGCAGUAGAUAAGGCUUUCACCCAAAAUCGAGAAGGGACAUAAGAUUCAAGUAGGAGAGUUCAAACAACAUCUAGAAGGUGUCGAUUCUUACGCUCAGCGAUUCCAUUCUGUUGUGAGGUAUACGAACAAGAGCGCUGAUAGAUAAUUCCCUUCUGUUGUAGGUAAGAUUGAAAUUCACGAGACAUAUAUUCUCCACCAGAGUCAGAGCGUAGGAUCUUAACAUAAGUUGAAAAUUGUGUUUCCACACAGGCAACGAAAGUUUGAAAGAUAAGAAAUACCUCAGUUUUUGAUCGAAGAAAAUAGGCCCAAGUGAAACGACUAUAAUUGUCAAAUAAAUGUCACAAAGUACCUGUAUUGAGCAUGAGAGAUAACGGGACUUAUACCCCAAAUAUCAGUAUGAAUAAUCUCGAAACACAUAGAAGCGCGGCUACCAUGUAAAGAAAAUGGCAAAGAUUUACUCUUACCAAGCUUACAAGAUGCACAAUCGAAAGAUGAGUGUGAAGAAGAAAAUUCAUUCAUAUUAUUCAAAUAACCAUGCUUCAAAAGAUGUCUUAAAACAACAGAAUUGGGAUGUCCCAAUUUCUUAUGCCACAAAUGACUAUCAAGAGAAAUAACAGAAUAACCAACAUAAACAGAACGAGGAAUAGAAAAUGACUGAAGUGGAAAAAGACAUCCCACUUUAGGCCCCUUCGCUACCACCUGUCCCGAUGCUUGAUCCUGCACACGAUAACCAUUACGAUCAAAAUAAAUAGUAUAGUUAUCUUCUACCAGUUGGCCAACAGAAAUUAAAUUGGCAUAUAAAUAUGGAGAGAGAAAAACAUUAGUAAAGGAAGACUCGAAAUCUCCAACCGGCGUGAUAGGAAUAUUAUUGCCAUUAGCUAUCUGGAUAUGCUGCUCACCGUCAUAUUUAUGAACAUUAUUUAGAACUUCUAUAUUACCAGUCUGUAAUUGGAAGCCACAGAGUCAACUAACCAAGGAGAUAGAUUGUUUUUAUCUUGAAUGCUAAGCAUCAAGAAAGCAGAAAUAAUCAUCUGUUGAACAUAUUCAGGUGUAAGAGUUGAGGAGGAACCCGGCAUACCUAACUGAUCUGAAGAUGCAGCUGCAAGGUUGGACUAAACAGCAUGAUGAAAAGCAAGAGGUGAUGGAUUUUGAGGUCGGACACGACAAUCUUUGAUAAUAUGACCCUCCUUUUUACAAUAGUUGCAGAAUUUCUUAGUACAGUAUUUUGCAAUGUGACCAAACUCCUUGCACCUGUAACAGUGUGGUGACGAUUUGGAUUCUCCUUUGCCUUGUACGACAUAGGCUACAUUAACCAUCUCAAUAUUCUCAUUGUUCGGACUGAUGCUAUGCUGAGAAGCAAGUCGCUGUUCUUCAAGCAAAAGUUCCCCUAAGUAGACAUCCAAGGACGGUACAGGAUUGCGAUUAAUUGACCCAGCAUGUGCACUUUCAAAUUCGAGUCGUAAUUUCAUCAAAAACUCAUCCCAUUGACUUUCAGAAUGAACCAUUUGUACUGCUAAAGCAUCUUUAGGAAACUUUAGGCUGCACCAACUCCGAAUACUCGCUCCACAAGUUAAUAAAACCUGAAUAAAAUUGUUCAAUCGACAAAUUUCCUUGUCGAUAAUUCCCAAUAUCCAACUCUAAUUGAAAUUUUCGUGCAGAAUUAUCCUGAUAAUAAAUUCAUCGCAAAUAAUCCCACAUCUCUUUAGCAGUCGUAAAUGAACGAAGAUUAUUGACCAUAGUUGGUUCAAUAGAGCUUAGCAGCUACGAAAUAAUUCGAGCAUCUUUGUUUUUCCAUGAACUAAGCUCCUUAGGAUCCGUAGGGGCUUUAGACGAUCCAUCCACAUGGUUCCACAAUUUUUUACCUUUGACGAACAUCUUGAACUGAAAUUCCCAAGUAGGAUAAUUUUUACCAUUAAGACGAACAAUUGAAUUUUCUCUAGCCAUGACAACUGAAUUAAAAUAUCACCCAAUAACCAGCCCAAAUGAAACAGGCCCAAAUAAAUAGCACCAAUCCAAGAAAUUCACGCUUCAAACUAGUAACCCAAUAACCGGCCCAAAUAAAUACUACAGCCCAGAGAGAGAUUCACGUAAUACCUCCACACAGUUUCUGUCGACCACUGUUCUUGUCGACCACCCACCGGAAUAUUGUCAACUACCCAUCCAUAGAGGACACUGGAAUCGCGUCGAUCGCCGAGAGAAAAGCUGUGUUGCCCACCCAAGAGAUGCCGAAAAGAAGAGACGCCCUAAAUCGUGUCGAGCCUUCAGAUAGGACGCUGGAAUCGUGUCGAUUGCACACAAAGAGACGCUGGAAAUAUGUCGCGUCACUCACCAAUGAGACACCGAGAGUCCAGUCUUCCACACACGACGACAAUUUCUCACAGAGAUGCCAGAGAUUCUCUGUCACCACCAAUAACAGAAUUCCUGUUCUUCUUCUAUGGGUAUGGCUUUGAUACCAUGUCAAAAUUGUAUUCUCCAAUAAUUGUCUUUUAAUUGAUGCCCCAAUUGAGGUUCAAUCGGUUCUUUAAAUAGAGAAAAUUACAACAUUUAAAUAUGGUAAUAAUCUAUACAAGGAAAAGUCAAAUUAUACAAUCAUUAAUCUAUUGUUGGAAGAAACUCAAUCAAGAAGAUACUCCAUCAAUCUCGUUGACACUAGCAACAACAUGAGUCGUUAUAUUAGCUAAUCGAUCUACACUCAACAAGCAGAACAUCUAUAUUUUCAAGUUCGAGAUUAUCUUUGAUGUAGUUUGUGUCAAGCUCAACAUGUUUGAUUUAAUCAUGUUGUACUAGAUUAUUUACUUUCUCAAUAUUUGUUGUGUUAGUCACAGAAAAACACCAUGGAUUUCUUUGGACCAAACCUAAGCUUACCAAGGAGAAUUUUAAGCUGUAUAAGUUUGGUAAUGGCAUGAUGAAGAGCACAAUAUUGAGCCUCGAAACUAGACAACAAUAUCACAUUUUGUUUCUUACUCCUUCAAAGUCACCUAAGUUGCCCUUCCUUCGAUUUGUACCUUCUUCACAUUUUAUUGAAUAUUCCCAUUUCUCAUCUCAUCUAUUCUAGUCCGCCUGCUCAAAUCCAUCUUCACCAUCUUCAUUUACACUACUUCAUCUUGUGGACAUUUUGUCUUUUAAUAUCUAAACACUCAGUAACUUAGUCAGAGUAAUUAUUAUUUCGAGGAACUGACAUUUCAACCUUAUAGAUAUCUUCUUAUCAUACAAAAUUAAUUAAGUAAUCUAUCAUUUCAUUCAGAUAUGCUUUAUUAUGUUUGCAUAAUCUUCAGUCUCUCGUUCUUUGACAAUAACUGAACAUAAAUGUAAAAAACAAUCCAACUUUUAUUUAAAUGGCAUUGCUUGGUUUUGCUUAACCUAAGACCUUUAGAUUAUAAACUAUUUCCCUAAAGUUCUAACUUAAUAAUGAAAUCCCUUCUAGUUUCAUCAACUAGAACGAUUUUUUAAGAGAGUUAUUUAAACGAAAGAACUUCACCUUAGAUAUGUCUCAUAAACUCAUCCAUGACUAAAGCAAAAAGAUAAAGACUUAAAACACUACCUUCGUGCAGGCUUAUAGUGAUAAGACAUUUGAAUUAGUAACUGCCACCACAUCUCAUUCUCACGACUAGUCCAUCGUACAUAUCUUUAGUAAUAUUGAUAUUUCAAAAAGAAAUUCCGUCUCUAUAGCACCCAUCGUUAAAACUUUUCUAGGCACCCAAUCGUAGGCUUUUUCUAAAUCAAUAGAAUCCAUAUGCAGAUUUUGUUUCCUAUAUUAUGCUUCUGCAGAGAUCUUUUAAGCAGUUACAUGGCUUCCAAAGUAGAUCUCUCAUUAGGCUACACCUCAAUUCAUGCUCGAUUACCUUCUUCCACGAUUUCAUAGUAUAACUUGAAAACUUAGCACUUAAUAAUUUCUAUAAUCUUGAAUAUCUCAUAUAUUCUAGAAAUAUGUACCUUGAUUCCCUUCCUCGAAUCAGCCGACAAGUUCUUACUCUUAGGCUCUCAUCGAACAAUUUUAUCAAGCAUAUAAUAUUUACCUUCCCAGCACUUCCAUACUUCAAUCUUGCAAAGCAAAUCAUUUUUACGAAACAGCCCUCGCAUGAUUUUUCAUAUAAAUUUAUAGUAUGCAGGUCUUCAAUAGACGUCCACAGACUCAACAAUCAGAAAAAAAAUGUCAGCUUAUAUGUCCCUUUUCUAUUUUAAUUUGAUCGAAAUGUUGGAAAUAAUGUUACUCCACCAAAGAUGAGAACGAAUUACAAAUAGAAAAAUUAUCGAAAGAAGUAUAGGAGAUGAACAAAUGGCAAAGGAUAUAUGAAGAACUUUGAAGGCUCAAACACAAUCUUUGAUUGUUGUCCUCAAACGAAUUUUGCCCCCACUAUUUUGGUGUUUAAAGGGUGAUCCGGCAAAAGGUUUGAAGGAUUAAUCAAGCCUUAUAGAGAUUCAAACACUAAACACUUGUUUGAAUCUCUAAAACUUAAGAACACAAAGAAAAGAUGAAUAUGAGAGGGUAUUUUAUCUUUUGGAUUUGAUCUCAAGAAGGAUCAAUAUAAUAAGUGUUUUUCAACAUUUUUUCAAUGACCCAAGAUCACCUAUUUAUAGCCAAGUAGUAUAGCUUUACGAAGUGGUGCACCUUAUGGAUGAAAAGCCACCAAAAAAUUAACAAAAAACGACCCAACGGUCGUUUUUCUGUACCAUGCGACCGCAUGGUACAAAGCCAUGCGGUCGCAUGGUACAAUCCUACCGAGACCAUAUGGUCUCGGCAUGUCGCAUGGCCUAAUUUUUUUUUAUUUUUAUUGUUGGUUUUGAACAAUUAUACCACUUCAUAACAAUCCCCCACUUGUUCAAAAUUAACAAGUUUCUCAUUAUUCAAAUUAUACGAUACUCAUGCAUAAGGAUUAGAUAUCUUUCGAUUUGAAUCUAACCAUAGUGUAAUUCAAACAAAGUAAAGUCGAAAUUCAAGGUAGCGUGAAGCUUUGAACCAAGUAUUUCAUGUGACAAUACCGGUAAGAACACACACACGAAUAUCACGUGUUCUCAAGUUCCUCGUUUCUCGCUUAGCGCUUUUAUGGCCUUGCGCUUAUCCUUUUCAAUAAACUUUUAAGAGAGAACUCCAACUCUCUAUUAAGGCGGCACCACCUUGAAGUUUAUUUAGGUAAAGUUCUUCCAAUACCUUUGUUACUUUUAGAAGUACUUGUGGUUUUACACUGAACUUUAUUAAGAGCUUAUAGCUCAACCCUCGUUUUAGUAACAACCAGCAUUAUAUUAAUCUAGGAUAGGAUUAUUAUGGAUUAUAAUAAUGCUGUAACUAUCCACAUAUCGAAUGACUUGUUGACACCCUUUGAACCCAUGAAAAACCUUUUGAGUAACGACAGGUAGGGUUGCCAUCAUUGGUGGAUAUUUCAGUUAAGGAGUUUCAAUCCCAUCCUACUUGAAGUAGAUGCCACUAAAUCUCUAUUUAGAGGUUUAGUUAGAGGAUCCGCCAAAUUUUCAUUCGACCUUACAUAAUUUAGGGAAAUUAUUCCAUCCUUGAUUAACUUCCUUAUGUAGUUGUGUCUAAGACUCAUAUGUCUAGACUUCCCAUUAUAUACAUCAUUGUAUGCUUUAGCUAAAGUGGCUUGACUAUCACACAUUAUUGGUAUUGAAGAAAUAUUCUUUGAUCCCAAAGGUAUCUCAUAGAAUAAGUCUUUAAGCCAUUCAGCCUCCUUUCCUGUAUCUGAUAGGGCUACAAAUUCAGAUUCCAUAGUUGAAUGUGUUAUGCAUGUUUGUUUAUUGUUGGUUUUGAACAAUUAUACCACUUCAUAACACGAAAAAAGAAUAAUUUUAUUUGUAGAGCAAGAUCAAAUUGAAGGAUAAAGGACUAAUAAUUGACGAAUAAAGUCAUACUUCCAUUGUAGUGAAUCUUCCAGAUAUAUGAUAUUUUCCAGGACAAAGUUGUUCUCACUUCUCAGUCUCCUACAUGCACACAUGCAGACACACAAAAUGGAAAAUCCGCAAGUCGUCACCUAGAUGCAAAAUGGAAAAUAUAUUUUAUUUGGAAAAGGAAAAGAAAACCCGGGUAACAUAUGCUAUUUUAUAAAUUUGAGUUAAAGAUCAAUAAAUUGUACCUGAUUGAAACAAGCUGUAGAGAAAAUGAAUAUUUGGAAUGGAGGAAAAAAUUUUGGUUGGAGAUGGAGAGAAACAGAUGAGGUGGUCUUGAUUUUCUUCUUUAUUAUUGGGGUUCUGCAUUGUGAUUAGUUGUGGGCUGGUUCAAUGCAGAAACCAAUCAUAAUUCAACAAAUAAAAGUAAAAAAAUUCUGUUAGACCGGUCUGGGCUCUGGCUUAAAAAUAAUUCGCGAGAACCAGAAUGAACUGUCUGUUUCUCAGUCGAGAAAAUGAAAUUGAAUAUUUUGCUAGAGCCCUGGCUGCUGGUUAUGGUUAGGUUUUUCAAUUGCUGUUCUAGUGGAAAUGGUUCAUUCUUUUAGGUCAGAAAUGUGCUCAUAGUAGUUCAAAUCAACCGACUAAAUUAUUCAUAUGAUGGUGCAAAUACAUUAUUUAACAUUAAACUCAGGACUUAUUUAUGAGCAUGUAAGAUGUAACUGUAUUUUCUCUAGCUGAAUGGGAAUUUUUUAAAGCAUUAAUGACCUUUUGAUGUUUGCCAGAUGAAUUGAUUAGUGUAUGGUUUCAAUGUAGUCUUUCUCACGUUUGUUACAAUUUAGAGAUAUCUAAGUCUGUCAGAGUAGUCUUUCUCACGUUUAUUACAAUUUAGAGAUAUCUAAGUCUGUCAGAUGAAUUGAUCAGUGUAUAGUUUCAAUGUAGUCUUUCUCACGUUUAUUACAAUUUAGAGAUAUCUAAGUUUGUCAGAUGAAUUGAUCAGUGUAUAGUUUCAAUGUAGUCUUUCUCACGUUUGUCACAGUUGAGAGAUAAUAUUGAUUAAUUUUCUCUCGUGUAUCGUUCUUUUUCUCUUUGAAAACUUUUGACACAAGUCGGGGCAAGAUAUUGCAGCUUACAAGCAUGAACUGAAGUUUUUGCUCGUUUGCAAUUUGCAAAUCUUUCCUACCUUUGAAAUAUGGUGAUAAUUUACUUUUACUACCUUUUCAACGUGUGUAGGUUGUAGCGGGGCAUGAUAGAAAUGGAAAUAAUGGUCGUGAUGUAAUCUUGGGGUGGAUUGUCAUUGGCUUGUUGGCAUAAUUAUCUGGUACCUCAUCAAAAUGGCGAUGCCACUCAUUGGGCAUUUAUCUUUGGUUUUUAACUACAC